Molecule: ribosomal RNA, 534 nt
Filed under: Triticum aestivum (bread wheat)
Lineage: Eukaryota; Viridiplantae; Streptophyta; Magnoliopsida; Poales; Poaceae
Description: partial small subunit ribosomal RNA
Source: RNAcentral
AUGGACUCCCCGCAAAAAAGGGCUGGAUCCACCAUGGACUCCACCGCGGCGAAGAAGGCGACGGCCUCUCCUCCGACUCCGUUCCCGAAUGCUGUCCGGCUGGUCAGCAUUUGGGCGCUCUCCACCGCCUGCUUCUUCCUUGUCUCCUUCGCAAUCUCCUACGCAGUCGUCUACGCACUCGACCAGUGCGUCUGCGCCGAGCCGACAGACGCGGACGGCGACGACUGCAUCGCGCUGGUGUACUUGCCUGCGGCUCAGGCGGCCGCGGCGGCGCUGGCGCUGCUGCUCCCAGGCCGCCACCGCCGUGCCCUCGCGUGCCUCGCGCUCGCGGUCGCCAUCGUCGGCCAUUAUAUGUUCGUCGCCGGCGCCCUUCGGUUGCUCUUCGCCCCCGUCGCCGACCCUGGGCAAGGAUACAUGGUCGCCCUCGACAUCCUUGUCAGGGUCGGCUGGGUCGUGGGCAUCGUCAUCUUUCCGGCGGGCGACCUCGUCAGUUUCCUCUUCCUGGCCCUCUCCUUCUGCGCUUCUGGGAGGUGA